UGACAGAGCCAGCGAGUUCUUCCUUGGCCGAAAGGCCU
Molecule: ribosomal RNA, 38 nt
Filed under: Ceratocystiopsis pallidobrunnea
Lineage: Eukaryota; Fungi; Ascomycota; Sordariomycetes; Ophiostomatales; Ophiostomataceae
Description: partial 18S ribosomal RNA
Source: RNAcentral